CCUACUCCAAUGGGAAUGGGGCAACUUCCAGGGGCGGGAUCCAGGGGGGUGGGGCGAGCGGUUCCCUGUAAAGGAAUCUCUCCAGUUCAGAGGUUGCAAGUUCCUGAGAGUGAGCGGUCCACGUGCAGGAUGCCAGAGCAAAAGAAGAAAAGGUCUGAAAUGUCAGAGAAAAAGAAAAGGAAAUUCAAGGAGUUAGUGGAAGGAGAGAAACCUCUAAAGAAGAAGAAGUUGAGUGUCAAGAUAUCCUCAGACCCAAUGGAUACAGAAAUUUCUCAGAUGGAUGCAGCAAGUGAUGAGGAAAAGCAAGAUGAGCAGGAACUGACUCCAGAGGAAAUGAGAACCCUGGAAAGAAAACUGAAGAAAGAACGAAAGAAAGAACAAAAGAAGCAGCUUCGGGAAGCAGGGAUUCGUGUUGUAAAAGAAAACCCUGAGAAACCCUCGGGAGCUGAGUUGGCCUUAGACUAUCUCACUAGUUGGGCCAAUAAGCGUGAGGAAUGGAAGUUUCAGAAGACAAGGCAGACCUGGCUCCUGCUUCAUAUGUAUGACAGCAAUAAGGUCCCAGAUAAGCAUUUCUCCAUUCUGCUAGACUACCUGGAGGGUCUGAAAGGAAGAGCCCGAGAGAUGACAGUGCAGAAAGCUGAAACGCUUAUGAAGAAACUGGAUAAUACAGAGCCCGAAGAUUCAAGCUUACUAGAGAAGAGUGAAAGAAUCCGGCAAAUCCUGCAGCUGCUUUCCUAAAAAGGAACAAGCCCACAUCUCUGCAACUGCUUCAGCAGAAGAAAAGUUGUCUUCCCAAAAUCUCAGGAAAGGAUGACUCUCCCCUUCUCUCACCUGAAUGUAUAUGGAUAUGUGUGCACAUGUGUAUGCACAUACAACAGAAUGUUUUUUCUAAAUUUCAGCAUCUGAUCUUCUCUCAGGCAAGUUAUCUGGAGAAGGAGGAAUAAUGCAAGGCACAUGCAUCACCCCUGGAAGCCAAAACUGAAAUCAAAUACAGACUUGGUGCCAUUGACGGGAGACGCUAGAUCAUUCUCAUCAGCUCCAGACAAACUGUUUUCUUCCCCACCCAGCAGAAGAAAUUUGCUGUUUUUCCUUCUCCCCUCCCCCACUCAGAGUUUUUAAAGAUUUUUCUCCCACUUCCCAAAAAAGAAAAGUAAACCAUGCAGACAUCUCUGGGGUAGGAGGAAAAACUGGGUCCUGAGCUGGGCAGUCCCAGGUUGGUUAAAAGACUAGAGCAUCCAUUGAGGCCAUCAUACACAACUUCUUCUAUAGAAAGAGUGUUGGCUCUGUAGUCAGAAGUCUUGGGUUCAAAUCCUCUCUCAGGUACUUUGGAGAGGUCGUACUACUUGCUUGGGCUUCAUUUUCCCCAUCUCUAAAAUGGAGGGGCUGGAUCUAGAUUAAAGCUUACUAAAUGAUAGGUCACAAUCCUAUAUGGGGUCACAUAACUGAAUGUGGGGCUCACAAAAAUUUUGUCAACGGUAAAAGGUUUCCUGAAUGCUCUGCAUCCAGCAGUAUCAGAUAUUCUGCCAAGAUUUAAUUCUUCAUGUAAGAAUAACUAAGCAAAUCCAUUUCAUUACUAUGCAAAUUUGCUUUCCUUUUUAAUAAAUGGUAAAAUUAUAUGUAUACCAAAGAAUUGUUUUAAAAUCAUUUUCUUUAUGAUUUAUUAUUAGUAAAUGUUUGAUUUGUAUACCUGUUUUAUAUACCUAUGUACCUGGGGUUGCAUGAAGGUUUCUCAGGAGGAAAAAAAGGUCAUGAGUGGGGGAAAAAAUUGGGCUAGAGAACCAUUAAGGACCUUCCAGUUCUAGAACUACAACCCUAUGAAUGUCUGUGGCUUUUCCUGGCUUAAUAUGGAUCACAGUGGGUUCCAAAAUGUUCUCUAAAGCAGGAUUCUUUAGCUGGGGUCCUUUAACUCCUUUUAAAAAUGAUUUUGAUAAAUGUAUUUGAAAUACUUACAAAAGUAUCUGUAAUACUUACAAAAUCAAAUUGCAGUGAAUUAAAUCCACAAUUAACAUAAAUAAAAUGUUCAAAAAAUAA
Molecule: RNA transcript, 2031 nt
Organism: Antechinus flavipes (yellow-footed antechinus)
Lineage: Eukaryota; Metazoa; Chordata; Mammalia; Dasyuromorphia; Dasyuridae
Gene: CHLSN
Gene name: chromosome 1 C7orf50 homolog
Exons: 7
Source: RefSeq, a predicted model, not a curated record